UCAACGGGAGUUGUUUUCUAACGAUAUUUUGAGGUCUUCUUUCUUUAGUUACCUUUUUGGAGUUGAAGUAAAUUACUGUUGUGUAUUUUCGAGCUAUCGUCGAUUCCGUCGUAUCGUCGACGAUAUAUUAGCAACGAUAGUUUUUGGGAGCAUUACAGCACUACAUCUCUUUGGAGUAAAGUAUUGUGGAUUUACGGAGACUAAAAACCAAUGACGUUAAUGCGCAAACUUCUGAGAAAGCUAAAACCUGCACAAAGGUUAGGCUUAGUGGGAAGUCCUUUAUAAGGCAGGAAAGCGGAGUACUUUGAUUAUUCAAUCAAGAAUAAUGGCUUUAAGCCAAAAAUCACUUUACAAUUUAGGUGAGAAUGGAGCCCGGAUAUUGAUAAGCUUUUGUUAUGCCAGUGUGUUCUUUAUAUUAUGCUACAUAUUUUACAUUAUGCUUUAAUUUGUCUGUUUAUUGCCUGUAUGCCCACCAAGUUUUGCCUUUAGUGUAUGCUAAAAAAUGAUUAUUGAUGUAAUUAGCAAUUUAAAACACUAGUUUUAAAGCUAUGCAUUGUAUAAUCCUAUGCAAAUAUAUAAUGAAUCUUCUUGCCUUCACCAGUAUGUCUCCAUAAAUAUCCAAAUUAAUAAAUUUUGAAAGGUGUUUAGUACCAUUUAUUUUGAAA
Macrobrachium nipponense is the source of this 665-nucleotide long non-coding RNA. RefSeq lists it as uncharacterized. The transcript has 3 exons. The record is from RefSeq and is a predicted model, not a curated record. NCBI's taxonomy places the organism in Eukaryota, Metazoa, Arthropoda, Malacostraca, Decapoda, Palaemonidae.